UCUCAACCCGCCAGAUCUUCCAAUUGCUCGCAGAAAAUCUUUGUAGAGAUUUUUGGAAAAGCGCAAAGAGAGGUUGACUUGUGCAUCCCCAUAUGGUUGCUAGUUCAGUGCACCU
Long non-coding RNA from Hibiscus syriacus, 115 nucleotides. RefSeq lists it as uncharacterized. The transcript is spliced from 2 exons. The record is from RefSeq and is a predicted model, not a curated record. NCBI's taxonomy places the organism in Eukaryota, Viridiplantae, Streptophyta, Magnoliopsida, Malvales, Malvaceae.